UACGGGGGGGGCAAGCGUUGUUCGGAAUUACUGGGCGUAAAGGGCUCGUAGGCGGCUUUAUAAGUCGGGGGUGAAAGCCUGUGGCUCAACCACAGAAUUGCCUUCGAUACUGUAGAGCUUGAGACCGGAAGAGGUAAGUGGAACUGCGAGUGUAGAGGUGAAAUUCGUAGAUAUUCGCAAGAACACCAGUGGCGAAGGCGGCUUACUGGUCCGGUUCUGACGCUGAGGCGCGAAAGCGUGGGGAGCAAACAGG
Molecule: ribosomal RNA, 253 nt
Filed under: uncultured bacterium
Lineage: Bacteria
Description: partial 16S ribosomal RNA
Rfam family: Bacterial small subunit ribosomal RNA
Source: RNAcentral